Molecule: ribosomal RNA, 112 nt
Filed under: Periophthalmus magnuspinnatus
Lineage: Eukaryota; Metazoa; Chordata; Actinopteri; Gobiiformes; Gobiidae
Source: RNAcentral
CAUUAAUUAAACAGCUAGUGGUCAAUGCCCGAUCUCAUCUGACCUCUGAAGCUAAGUAGGGUUGGGUCUAGUUAUUACUUGGAUGGGGGACUGCUGCGGCUACCAGGAAUGU